RNAcentral lists this ribosomal RNA (235 nucleotides) under uncultured Candidatus Saccharibacteria bacterium. Its description in RNAcentral is "partial 16S ribosomal RNA". It matches the Rfam family "Bacterial small subunit ribosomal RNA", at positions 584 to 818 of the family's 1533-position model. Lineage: Bacteria; Candidatus Saccharimonadota. The record is from RNAcentral.
UAAGCUAGAAGUGAAAGCGUGUGGCUCAACCAUACUCACAUUUCUAAAACUACUAAGCUAGAGUAUAAGAGAGGUAGCUGGAAUUUCUAGUGUAGGAGUGAAAUCCGUAGAUAUUAGAAGGAACACCGAUGGCGUAGGCAGGCUACUGGCUUAUUACUGACACUAAGGCACGAAAGCGUGGGGAGCGAACAGGAUUAGAUACCCUGGUAGUCCACGCCGUAAACUAUGGAUGCUA